Small nuclear RNA from Cyprinus carpio carpio, 195 nucleotides. Its record names the gene U2. It matches the Rfam family "U2 spliceosomal RNA". From Rfam's summary of the family: U2 is a small nuclear RNA (snRNA) component of the spliceosome (involved in pre-mRNA splicing). Complementary binding between U2 snRNA (in an area lying towards the 5' end but 3' to hairpin I) and the branchpoint sequence (BPS) of the intron results the bulging out of an unpaired adenosine, on the BPS, which initiates a nucleophilic attack at the intronic 5' splice site, thus starting the first of two transesterification reactions that mediate splicing. The record is from Ensembl. Lineage: Eukaryota; Metazoa; Chordata; Actinopteri; Cypriniformes; Cyprinidae.
AUGGCUUUUAAUGAAACUGUGACAAUAAAACUAUGAAAAAGAAAAAAAAUCUGUUCUUAUCAGUUUAAUAUCUGAUACGUCCCCUACCUGGGGACUACAUAUUAAAAUGAUUUUUGGAUCAAUUUUGGAUUUUUGCUCUGUCCACUCCACGCAUCGGCCUGGUAUUGCAGUGUCUCCAGGAACGGUGUGCUUCCC